Molecule: ribosomal RNA, 494 nt
Filed under: uncultured bacterium
Lineage: Bacteria
Description: partial 16S ribosomal RNA
Rfam family: Bacterial small subunit ribosomal RNA
Source: RNAcentral
GACGAACGCUGGCGGCGCGCUUAACACAUGCAAGUCGAACGGAAAGGCCUGCUUUCCCUUGUGGAUUGCGGGUACUCGAGUGGCGAACGGGUGAGUAACACGUGAGUGAUCUGCCCCCAACUUGGGUAUAAGCCUGGGAAACUGGGUCUAAUUCCCGAUAGGACUGCAGGGUGGUGCCUGUGGUGGAAAACGAUUUUCUAGUGGUUGGGGAUGAGCUCGCGGCCUAUCAGCUUGUUGGUGGGGUAAUGGCCUACCAAGGCGGCGACGGGUAGCCGGCCUGAGAGGGUGGACGGCCAGAUUGGGACUGAGAUACGGCCCAGACUCCUACGGGAGGAAGCAGUGGGGAAUAUUGCACAAUGGGCGGAAGCCUGAUGCAGCGACGCCGCGUGGGGGAUGACGGCCUUCGGGUUGUAAACUCCUUGCGACCGCGAGGAAGCCACCUGGUUGGAAGGGUGGUGACGGUAGUGGUAGAAGAAGCACCGGCUAACUACGUG